This 396-nucleotide ribosomal RNA is filed under the name uncultured bacterium. RNAcentral describes it as "partial 16S ribosomal RNA". It matches the Rfam family "Bacterial small subunit ribosomal RNA", at positions 361 to 774 of the family's 1533-position model. The record is from RNAcentral.
AUAUUGCACAAUGGAGGGAACUCUGAUGCAGCGACGCCGCGUGAGUGAUGAAGGCUUUCGAGUCGUAAAACUCUGUCCUUGGGGACGAUAAUGACGGUACCCAAGGAGGAAGCCCCGGCUAACUACGUGCCAGCAGCCGCGGUAAUACGUAGGGGGCAAGCGUUGUCCGGAAUUAUUGGGCGUAAAGGGUGCGUAGGCGGCCUUUUAAGUCAGAUGUGAAAGACCACGGCUUAACCGUGGGGUUGCAUUUGAAACUGGAAGGCUUGAGUAUCGGAGAGGGUAGUGGAAUUCCCAGUGUAGCGGUGAAAUGCGUAGAUAUUAGGAGGAACACCAGUGGCGAAGGCGACUCUCUGGACUGCAACUGACGCUGAGGCACGAAAGCGUGGGGAGCGAACA